AUACGGAGGGUGCAAGCGUUAAUCGGAAUUACUGGGCGUAAAGGGUACGUAGGCGGUUAAAUAAGUUGGAUGUGAAAGCCCCGGGCUCAACCUGGGAACUGCAUUCAAAACUGUUUGACUAGAGUGUAUGAGAGGUUGGCGGAAUUCCAGGUGUAGCAGUGAAAUGCGUAGAUAUCUGGAGGAACAUCAGUGGCGAAGGCGGCCAACUGGAAUAACACUGACGCUGAGGUACGAAAGCGUGGGGAGCGAACGGGAUUAGAUACCCCAGUAGUCC
RNAcentral lists this ribosomal RNA (274 nucleotides) under uncultured bacterium. RNAcentral describes it as "partial 16S ribosomal RNA". It matches the Rfam family "Bacterial small subunit ribosomal RNA", at positions 523 to 796 of the family's 1533-position model. The record is from RNAcentral.